AAUUUCGAUACUUGAUAUACGUCAAUAAAGCUUUGGCCUAAAUGGAACAGAAGACAUACAACUUCGGAUUAACAUUUUGGUAGAUUUCAGACUUAUAGCCCUGUCUAACCUUCUGCCAAUACCAUAGAAUAGAAUUCAUUCUCUUACAGAGACAUGUUCUACAUGGCGAGAGGCUACAUACCAGUACCAAUGUGAAUCUAAUUCCUUUCACUGAUCACAUUGUCAAAGGUAUUUAUUUGCUAUUAAAAAUAGCGAAUAAAAAUAACAUGGGAAAAUAACCCGGAAUAAUAACACUGAAAAGCACAUAGCACAUAUAAUACAUAACAUACAAUUGUUCCUAUAUAUUAAACUCACCGUGAAAUAACCGGGGGCUAAAAUAUUAAUUUGGGCAGCACUAUAGCUCUAAAUAUGACUUUCUUCGUUGAAAACCAUGAGUUUUCUUGAAAACCGGGCUCUGUGAAGGUAGAACUUCAAACCGAAAAAAUAAAUUUCCCGGGAUCUUCGGGCACUUCGGGGCGUGUUUCGGGUGUUGAAAAUGAUUCCAGGGCUUCGGGGGAAGUGGAAGUAGUAGAAAUAUGAGUUUAGGGGUGAAAUGGCUAAAUUCCAAAAAUCCCCAGGAGGUCUCGCAGCCUCCCUUUUAUAGGGUCGAGGUUUGGAUCCGAAGCGCAAGGUAGGGAAGACAGCUGGUGCGAAGGUCGGACACACGGUAGGAAAGGCGAGGCUCGGACGAGGCUGCACACGCGUCACUCCUCGGACGCGCCACGGCUUCGGAAGCGAGGAGUCACCGCGACACGCAUUGGAUUUCUACCGAACCACUUCGGACUCGUCAUCAGUAUCGAAUACGGAGCAGGUGACUCACCGAGAUCGGACUUAUCCAUGAGAGGUUUCUCGAAAAUUGUGCCCCGAACUUCUAAAAUCCAUAACUUUCGCAUACUGGCUCCGUUUUUUAUGUUCUUUAUAUGCACGCGUAGGCGGGAAUAUAUUCUACAACUUUCGUUUAGACUUCUUUGGCUAAUUUUGACUUUAUUUUUAAUAUUAUUAUUUUUAACAGACCGGGACUAGAAAAUUCGUUAAAAUUUCAUAACUUUUUAAUCUGACAUCCGUUUUCGUCAGACUUUUUACCGUUGUACUACUAAUGAAGAGACCUUCAAUUCUCAUUUAGGUUGUGUUGGCUAAAAAUCACUCGAUUUAAAAUUCGAGUUUUUAGUUGUCUACUGCUAAGCUGAAACUUAGAAAAAUCAUAACUUCCUCAUACGAAGUCAGAUUCUGGCGUUCUUUUUAUCGAACUUCUCAGUUUAAAGAAUACUACGACUUUCAUUUAUAUUAUUAAGGCUAAAAAGUAGUUUAUCAAAAACUCACUUUUACUUCAUUCGACGCCGUGCCGGUUUUGUCGCGGAUCUUCGAUUGAUCAUAACUUCUUCGUUAUAACUCGGAUUUCGAUGAGGUUUUCGCCUAAAUGUUUCUAACGAGAAUAUCUACAACUUUCAAUAAUAAAAUUUUACUUAUUUCAAAUUUUAUAUUUUCGUUAAAUUUUACCAUUUGACAUUUGAUUGGAAUCUCAUAAGACUUCUAAUACGUUCUGAAUGAUUCUAAGCAUAGUUUUACUUUAUUUCUAGUAAAAACCAUCUGUUAGAACUCAACAUUCAAAUUCACAUAAUAUUUCGUAAUAUUAUUCACUUUUAUAAUUUACAAUACACGAUAACUGAACGUGUAUGUUACAAAUACCUCCUCCUUUUGAGGAUUUCGUCGCCGAAAUUACAUCGAUUAAAAUAAAUGGAGAUAUUUUCCUCUUAUCUCAUUAUUAUUUUCCCAAGUAUAGUUUGGACCUCGAUGGUGUUUCCACUUGACAAGCACCAACUCUACUUCUUUAUUACGUAGAUUAGUUGUUCCUUCAUUCACGAUCUCUUCAAGCUCUUCUACAUAUCUUAACUUAUUAUCCAAUUUCACCUCGGAUAAUGGAACUGUCUCAUCAUUGAUGCUCAAGCAUUUGCGCAGAUAGCUCACAUGAAACACAUCAUGAAUACCUGCCAAAUCUUUCGGCAAUUCCAAGCGGUAUGCUUGUUUACCAACUCUCUGGAUGAUUUUGAAAGGACCAAUAAAUCUAGAGCUUAGGUUUCCUUUCUUCCUCAAAUUUCAUAAUACCUUUCCACGGGGUUACCUUCAGUAUCACCCACUUGGAAUUCUAUGGAUCGUCUCCUCCAUUUCUACACAGGAUUUUUGUCGAUCAUGGGCUGCUUUCAUUCUUUCCCGUAUAAUUUGAAUCUUUUCGGUGGUGUCUUGAAUCAUUUCAGGGCCUCCAAGGAUCUUCUGUCCUAUGUCUCGCAAACAUAAUGGCGUACGACAUUUACGACCAUAUAAUGCUUCAUAUGGUGUCAUUUUGAUUAAAGUGUAGUAACUGUUAUUAUAUGAAAAUUCGACAAGAGGUAAGUAUUUAUCCUAGUUACCACUGAACUCCAAUACACAUGCACGAAGCAUAUCUUCUACUGUUUAGAUCGUUCUCUCCGUUUGACUAUCUGUCUAGGGAUGAUAAGUUGUGCUGAGAGCAACUCGAGAUCCCAAUUCACGUUUCAUACUCACCCAAAAGUGAGAAGUGAAGCGAGUAUCACGAUCGGAAAUAAUCUUUAGUGGCACACCAGGUCUCGCAGUGAUUUCGUCUAAGUAAACUGUGUGUAUUUCUCCAUUAGAACCGUUGUACGUAUGGCGAUAAAAUAUGCACUCAUAGUCAGCUGGUCGACAAUUACCCAAAUGCUAUUAUUCUAUAUAGCAGUCUUUGACAAUUAGAGUAGCACCAUGCAUAAGGUCAAUCCAGAAUUCUACUUGCCUAUUCGGGGUAGUCCAGGCAAUUCGUCGGGAAGAUCAUCAAGAUUUUCAUUAAUAAUGGAAACAUCAUUUACAAUUUUCUUCCCAUUUCUUGAGAUAUCAACUACAUUAGCCGGAUAAGUAGAAUAUCCCUUCGAUAUAAAUUUACGAGUUUGUAAGAAAGAAGUUAUUAUUUUCAAAGUAGACAUAAAUAGAAUCCUCUUCUUCGAUAAGGAUGCAUACUAUCUCUUCGUAGCACAAGAGUUUUGCGUGGUUCUUUGAUAACCAAUCCAUGCCGAGAACAAUAUCAAAGUUGGGCAAGGAGAUAGGAAUUAGGUUAGCAAGAAGAUUAUAACCUUCAAUUCCUAUGACACUAUCCUUAUAGACUUUAUCAGCAAGUAAUGAUAUACUUCCUAUGUUAUCUAUAUGAAAUGAUUGGACAAUUGCAUAACAAGCAAUUUGAAAAAAAAUGUGUGAAUUUAUAAGGCACGAAAGAAUCUGAGGCAUCAAAAUCAAAUAAGAUGUGAGCGGAUCUAGAGUUUACGAGAAAAUUACUAGUCACAACAUUCGAGUUCUAACUUACUUCUUCUGUGGUAAUCUAAAAUGUAUGAUAUUUAACUUUUGGUUUGCCAAACGAUUGUCAAACUCUUCAAACUUCUUAGUUACUAGCGGUGCUCAAACCUGCACCCUCUCAUCAUUCUCUAGUGGGCCUUCGAUCCUAACCUUUGAGUUAAAACUCAAUUCUCAUUGUAGACUCCUGCUCCUUCUUGGUUUAUAGACUAAACCCAAGAUAAGGUCUUUACUUUUGCUAUAACAACUCGAAUGGUCAUAUUCUAAUGACCUUUGAUUUUAUAAUGCACAAGACAUAUAAUGAACCAAACUCUUGUAUUAGAAUCAGAUCGAAUAAAUCGAGUUGGUGGAAUAGAGAAAACAAAAAGAGUUUGAUCAGCAUGUGGAUGCUUCGGAACAGAAAGAAUAGCACCAUGUAUCUCUAAUUCGUGCUUUCAGACAUACACAUCAGUUUUGUCAAAUGACAGAAUAUUUCGAUUGAUUACGAAAUCACGGAUUUCAUACUGUAGUCCUUCCAUGAAUAACUAAAUUCUUCAUCGCCUUCAUAAUAGGUAACAUCUCUAGUUAAUGGUUGCUCAAUUUUUUAAUGAAGAUCGUUAUAUUUCUAUCGACCAUCUCCUUCUUGACUGAAAUUUCAUGAUUACUCGAACAUGGCUUUCUAAACCAAUCAACUUUAUCUUUGUAGAUUUAUAUUAAUCGGACUCCACUCUUUAUGAAAUUAAGAUUUGAACAAUAAUUAUCUUCUUAGUCAUUACCGAAACGAAGGUAACGACACUCAUGAAUAAAACGGAAUCAUUUACUAGCUUCAUUGUAACCUUGUGACUUUCCCUGAUCCAAGAGUGAGUCAUAUGCUUCCAAUAGUAUAGGUCUCUACUACCAUUUACACCUACUCAUACUUGUCCCAAGUAUUGUCUCGCAGUUUUCCAAGUCACCAUUCAAAAUCACAAAACAACUUAUCACACAUGAAUGUGUUCAAACAAAUACAUACAACAAUUUCUCCUAGACUCAACUAGGGUUUUCGCGUUUCUAUCAAACAUAUCUUGUAUUACUUAUACUCGUCUUCUAAAAUUUUUAUCACGCAUAUGCUCGAUCUAGCAUAUUCUAAUGCUUUUUUCAUAGGUCGAUAGAAUUUUACUUCCAAAUCUUCAUAUAAAUUCUUUCUCGGGUAGUGUCUACUCUACAAGACAUACUACACCCAAAAUUUACUCUAGCAGUGUAGAGACAAACGGUCUUCAACUACUUGCAUCAUAUUUUAACUUAUGUAAUUCACCAUGCACCUUUGUUCAUUUCAUUAUCCUUCCAUGACAUCGUUAUUCUUGUAUCUGAGUAAGUCUAAGUCUACUUCAUAGGAGUCUGUCUUAAGAAGUUUGCAUUAUAGCUGCAUCUCAGCAAGCUCUACUAGCUUCAACUUGGUUCUCUGUCAUUCCUAACUACAACAUUUCUUCUCAUACAAUACUAUGGGUGUAUUGUUUCUUCAACUAAGCAUUCUACCUUACUUAAACAAGUAGGUUACGUAACCUUUUAUUACUAAAUGACUUAAUUCACCAUCCUAAUCAUGUAUGUUAAAGUUGGCUUAACACACAAUGGAACUUCCAUAAGGAUGUGAUAGAAGUUAAUCAUCAUUCAGUAUUAUUAAAUACUAAGUCUGAGCAUCCUGUAUAGAGUUACUACUUGAACUACAUACUACAUCACAAAGUCUUGGCCUAUUGAGUCUGAAAAACUUCAUUAGCCUUUCCUUUGAUCUUCAUUUAAUUCUUCUAAAUCUUAUACCACAUUAAUUUCAAUAUUGUUGAUGUAUUUAUCACCAUCUUCGGUUCUUCCGAUUUUAUAAACAAUCACUACUUUAAUCUGGACAACGGUGGAAUAACUUCAUGGAUUUGUACCAACACAUUUAUCUCGCCCAAAUGUGUUUCAAACGUACAUCAUUCUUCUAAAGAUGUUAUUAUUUCAUCAAAUUUAUACUUUGAAUGUACAACACCACUCUAUUGGUAUUAAUACACUAUUUACGAUUUCACUUGGUAAAUAUUAUUUUACGAUAUCCCUCGAUCGUGUAUCUACAAACUUAUCGAUGUCGACUAUUAUAAGUCUCUUUAUCACUUCGAAAAGUUUCAUGUAAAUUCUAAUACAAAAAUUCUUAGAAUUCUAAACAUAAAAUUUUCUCUUCUAAAUCAAGGUCGACAACAGACCAUAAACUUUCUUAAAUAAUAGCAAUAAGGCAAGCAACCUAAGGCAUGCUAUAUUCAUUUAUCAUUUAGCACAUAUUAGAAUAUAAGGCAUAUCUCCUCUUAAUAUUCUAGUGUUUGUUUCCAUUUAGGUAUUCAACCUAAGUAUACCAGAUACACAUCAUAUCAUCUUCACAUAACAAUUUAUGUUUAAGUCUAGAAAUUCUCAAAAUUCCUAGUUCACUUAAACUAAUUUUCUGAAAAUUUUGGAGUAACUUAAUAUCUUAGAAUACUAGGGUUUAUCACUACCCAAUACCCCACUUAAGUAUUUCCUAUGGUUUGUAUCCAUAUAAUCCUAAUGAAUCCGUUCAUAUAUUGAACUUCCAACAGUUUAUGUCUAAAUACCAAUCCAUGGUAUUUAGUUCACUUAAACCACUGCUCUGAUACCAUGAUUAAAAGACCCUCACUUUCGUAUUUCUGAAAGACCCAAACUUUCAUACUUGACAUAUAGUUACUUCAAAACAUGCUACUUGCAUAUUCAUAAAAACAAUAUUUUACAUUGAUAAAGAGAUUACAAAUGACUGGAUACAAACCAACUAUUACAACGUGUUAUAUAUUACACAACUACCCAGUAUACUAUACAUUUAUACUUACAUGAUCCCUAAAUACAAAAGUAAUAUUACAACUAUUCUAAACCUUCCGACAGUAUAUGACUAUACUGGUUACUUAUCUCCUACAAAUUUGUUAAACAUUGAGAGGGUAAGCGGUGACUCUUAGUGAGUUCAAUAAUAGAUACAAUAUAACGUUAUGCCAUAUAUAUACUUCAAUAUGGCAGAAGCAAAGAGGAACAAGGAACAACAAAUGCAUAUGUGAAUCAUGUGACAAACUUUCCAUAUCAAUCAUUGAUUUGAUUCAAAGAUAUACAAUCAAUGAGACAUAACAAUUUCGAUACUUGAUAUACGUCAAUAAAGCUUUGGCCUAAAUGGAACAUAAGACAUACAACUUCGGAUUAACAUUUUGGUAGAUUUCAGACUUAUAGCCCUGUCUAACCUUCUGCCAAUACCAUAGAAUAGAAUUCAUUCUCUUACAGAGACAUGUUCUACAUGGCGAGAGGCUACAUACCAGUACCAAUGUGAAUCUAAUUCCUUUCACUGAUCACAUUGUCAAAGGUAUUUAUUUGCUAUUAAAAAUAGCGAAUAAAAAUAACAUGGGAAAAUAACCCGGAAUAAUAACACUGAAAAGCACAUAGCACAUAUAAUACAUAACAUACAAUUGUUCUUAUAUAUUAAACUCACCAUGAAAUAACCAGGGGCUAAAAUA
RNAcentral lists this long non-coding RNA (6851 nucleotides) under Lactuca sativa (garden lettuce). RNAcentral describes it as "long non-coding RNA (LSAT_LNC005602)". The record is from RNAcentral. Lineage: Eukaryota; Viridiplantae; Streptophyta; Magnoliopsida; Asterales; Asteraceae.